RNAcentral lists this small nucleolar RNA (139 nucleotides) under Amborella trichopoda. Its description in RNAcentral is "snoRNA snoR134". It matches the Rfam family "small nucleolar RNA snoR134". Lineage: Eukaryota; Viridiplantae; Streptophyta; Magnoliopsida; Amborellales; Amborellaceae. The record is from Rfam by way of RNAcentral.
UUGAACGAUGCAAACCCUGGGCUUCUCCUACAUUUUUCAUGAAGAUGAAUGCCCCAAUGCCUGUGCAAUGUGAAUCACCUGUUGAGUGUUGCAGGUUUGCCGAUCUAUCGGUACUUGUGUCAAAGCAACAACAACAUCU